GCCCAACAAACACCUGAAGACUAUCUGAAUGCUCACAACCAAGCUCGAGCAGUCGUUGGACUUGGACCUAUGAGCUGGGACAAAAAAGUAGCAGCCUAUGCACAAAACUACGCAAAUCAGCACGUCAGUGAAUGCAACCUUGUGCACUCAGAGGGGCCUUACGGCGAGAACUUGGCAUGGGGUAGUGGAGACCUUUCAGUCGAAGAAGCUGUGAAAAUGUGGGUUGAUGAGAAAACUUAUUACGACUAUAAUUCUAAUUCCUGUGCUCCUGGCCAGGUUUGUGGCCAUUAUACUCAAGUGGUCUGGCGCGAAUCGGUUCGCCUAGGAUGUGCUAAGGUUACCUGCACUAAUGGAGGAACCUUCAUUGGAUGCAAUUAUGAUCCUCCUGGUAAUUAUAUUGGGAAACGACCUUAUUAAUCAUAAUGUCGUUUAGAUUUACCCAAGGAUAAAAUAUGUCCUGGUUCAUAUCCAAGACUAUAAGAAUAUGAUUUAUGUCUUCCGGUUUCAGCCUAGAUUAAGUUGACCAAGAAAAAAUGGAAUAAAAUAGAAUAUGAUAUAUGUCUUCCUGAUUUCCAGCAUGGAGAUUUGCUUUUGGUUAUUUGUAAAGGGGCAAGAUUUUAAGCCAAAAAUAGAAUAAAAUAAAAUAUUAGGAGUUUGUCCUCAUUUCCUGUGUUUCACUAUCAAUUUACUCUCGUGAUUGCUGAUUACAAUAACUUAAGCCAUCAUAUACUAUCUUCUAGACAUCAUCUUUCUACAAAGACAAACACUACAAAAAAUUCGGCAAUUUGCGACCGAUUUGUCGGUGGCAAACUGCAAGAAAUCGGUCGUUAAACACCAUUAGCGACCGAUAACCAUCUAUCGCAAAAGUGCUCGCCGCUAGAUAAAUGAAAUUUAGAUUUCUCAAGCUCUAAUGACAGGCUAAACCAGUACACAACUAUACGCAUUAAAAGUGGAUAAUAUUAGCAUCGAAUUGCUGAUUUCAUUAGCAUAGAAACCGUUUAAACUUGAAUCUACUGUAUCCUUACCUCAUCUGCGAUCAUCGCAAUGAGUGCAGAGUUACUAGUCCGGAUUUGAGGUUUGUUAGCCAUUUCUUGAAUGAUCCAAUCGCAACAGAGUUAUUUCUUUAAUUGCGACAUGAAAUCGAAACCGAAACCGAAAUCGAAACCGAAAUGGAAAUGAAGAACAUAAGGAGGAGCGCACCAUAUCAAAAAAUCAAAAUCAACAUCUAAGAUGAGAAAAUAACCAAAUUAGAAAAUCGAUAUGAGAAAAGGUACCUUCAGUAGUUCGGUGCAAGCUAAUCUGACUUGAGAUCUCAGACCUUAUCUUUUUUACAGUUAUGGAAGACGCAGUGAGAGAGGGAGAGAGAGAGAGAGAGAGAAAUCAAUCGCGUGUCGAGGAACGGGAGAGGGAUAAGUUUCGUACUAUGGCACAUUUGUAAUUAUUUCUAUGUAUUACAGUAAAUUCAC
RNAcentral lists this long non-coding RNA (1466 nucleotides) under Jatropha curcas. Its description in RNAcentral is "long non-coding RNA (JCUR_LNC001305)". The record is from RNAcentral. Lineage: Eukaryota; Viridiplantae; Streptophyta; Magnoliopsida; Malpighiales; Euphorbiaceae.